GAUGAACGCUGGCGGCGUGCCUAAUACAUGCAAGUCGAGCGAACAGACGAGGAGCUUGCUCCUCUGACGUUAGCGGCGGACGGGUGAGUAACACGUGGAUAACCUACCUAUAAGACUGGGAUAACUUCGGGAAACCGGAGCUAAUACCGGAUAAUAUAUUGAACCGCAUGGUUCAAUAGUGAAAGACGGUUUUGCUGUCACUUAUAGAUGGAUCCGCGCCGCAUUAGCUAGUUGGUAAGGUAACGGCUUACCAAGGCAACGAUGCGUAGCCGACCUGAGAGGGUGAUCGGCCACACUGGAACUGAGACACGGUCCAGACUCCUACGGGAGGCAGCAGUAGGGAAUCUUCCGCAAUGGGCGAAAGCUUGACGGAGCAACGCCGCGUGAGUGAUGAAGGUCUUCGGAUCGUAAAACUCUGUUAUUAGGGAAGAACAAAUGUGUAAGUAACUAUGCGCGUCUUGACGGUACCUAAUCAGAAAGCCACGGCUAACUACGUG
This 497-nucleotide ribosomal RNA is filed under the name uncultured bacterium. RNAcentral describes it as "partial 16S ribosomal RNA". It matches the Rfam family "Bacterial small subunit ribosomal RNA", at positions 28 to 507 of the family's 1533-position model. The record is from RNAcentral.